Pteronotus mesoamericanus is the source of this 248-nucleotide long non-coding RNA. RefSeq lists it as uncharacterized. The record is from RefSeq and is a predicted model, not a curated record. The transcript is spliced from 3 exons. Lineage: Eukaryota; Metazoa; Chordata; Mammalia; Chiroptera; Mormoopidae.
AGUCAUGAAUUGCCAUUGCCAUUUUGAAAACUAAAAUACUUACUUUCUACAGCUACAUGGUUACAGCUUCCAAAGGAGAGGUGCUUUAUGAUGAAUCCAUGUGUCAUUAUUUUCUCUCUCAUUAAUUGAAUGUCCACUGGGGAAAAAGAAGGGAGAAGAUUGAAGAGGUGGAACGGCUGUGCAUUUUAUCAUGAAGAUUUAUCCGGAGGUGACCUCUAAGAUUACUUUAGAAUGAAGACCAUCAUUAU